Molecule: ribosomal RNA, 837 nt
Filed under: uncultured bacterium
Lineage: Bacteria
Description: bacterial SSU rRNA
Rfam family: Bacterial small subunit ribosomal RNA
Source: RNAcentral
CAUGCAGUCGAGGGGCAGCAUGAUUUGUAGCAAUACAGAUUGAUGGCGACCGGCGCACGGGUGAGUAACGCGUAUGCAACUUACCUAUCAGAGGGGGAUAGCCCGGCGAAAGUCGGAUUAAUACCCCAUAAAACAGGGGUCCCGCAUGGGAAUAUUUGUUAAAGAUUCAUCGCUGAUAGAUAGGCAUGCGUUCCAUUAGGCAGUUGGCGGGGUAACGGCCCACCAAACCGACGAUGGAUAGGGGUUCUGAGAGGAAGGUCCCCCACAUUGGUACUGAGACACGGACCAAACUCCUACGGGAGGCAGCAGUGAGGAAUAUUGGUCAAUGGCCGAGAGGCUGAACCAGCCAAGUCGCGUGAAGGAAGAAGGAUCUAUGGUUUGUAAACUUCUUUUAUAGGGGAAUAAAGUGGAGGACGUGUCCUUUUUUGUAUGUACCCUAUGAAUAAGCAUCGGCUAACUCCGUGCCAGCAGCCGCGGUAAUACGGAGGAUGCGAGCGUUAUCCGGAUUUAUUGGGUUUAAAGGGUGCGUAGGUGGUGAUUUAAGUCAGCGGUGAAAGUUUGUGGCUCAACCAUAAAAUUGCCGUUGAAACUGGGUUACUUGAGUGUGUUUGAGGUAGGCGGAAUGCGUGGUGUAGCGGUGAAAUGCACAGAUAUCACGCAGAACUCCGAUUGCGAAGGCAGCUUACUAAACCAUAACUGACACUGAAGCACGAAAGCGUGGGGAUCAAACAGGAUUAGAUACCCUGGUAGUCCACGCAGUAAACGAUGAUUACUAGGAGUUUGCGAUACAAUGUAAGCUCUACAGCGAAAGCGUUAAGUAAUCCACCUGGGGAGUAC